This 402-nucleotide ribosomal RNA is filed under the name bacterium. RNAcentral's name for it is "partial 16S ribosomal RNA". It matches the Rfam family "Bacterial small subunit ribosomal RNA", at positions 355 to 776 of the family's 1533-position model. The record is from RNAcentral.
UGGGGAAUUUUGCACAAUGGGGGAAACCCUGAUGCAGCGACGCCGCGUGAUUUAGAAGGCCUUCGGGUUGUAAAAAUCUUUUUUACGGCAUGAAAAUGACAGUACCGUAAGAAUAAGGUCCGGCUAAAUACGUGCCAGCAGCCGCGGUAAUACGUAUGGACCGAGCGUUGUCCGGAAUCAUUGGGCGUAAAGGGUACGUAGGCGGCCUAGUAAGUUAGAAGUGAAAUAAUAUAGCUCAACUAUAUAAAGCUUUUAAAACUGCUAGGCUUGAGAGAUGGAAGGGAAAGUGGAAUUCCUAGUGUAGCGGUGAAAUGCGCAGAUAUUAGGAAGAAUACCGGUGGCGAAGGCGACUUUCUGGUCAUCAUCUGACGCUGAGGUACGAAAGCGUGGGUAGCAAACAGG